AUGGUGGCGCAAGAUGGUGGUCGGUUUGGUGGCAGGCUCUGGAGCACCCGAGGUGAAGGUUGGGAUCGGGGGAAACCCCUGUCGGCAUGUCCGACACCGACGCGGCGACGCCGGUGGGUGCCGCCGAACCUUCCUGGAGGGCGUCGGGGGCGACCCUUACUCUCGCCUCGUCGUGUACCGAGGGAAACCCUUGGCAGCAGCGUCGUCUUCGUCGCGGUCCUUCUUGGAGGUGCUGAUUGGUACCGGUGCUUCGGAGCCUUGGAGCUUGGUUGGAGAUCUUCGGUGGGCGCACUGGUCGUGAAGCUUCUGUGUUUCCGUAGAUCCGCCGUUGUCGGCAUUCUUUUCUCUUAUUGUUUCUCUUUCGUUUCUUUUGGGUGUGUUUGUGUUGCUUCCGCCCCAGCACCUAUCUUUGGAUGUAUCGGUUGGUUGCUUUGGAAUACAAAGCGGGGGAAACCCUUUUUCUCGAACUAUUAG
RNAcentral lists this ribosomal RNA (474 nucleotides) under Triticum aestivum (bread wheat). RNAcentral describes it as "partial small subunit ribosomal RNA". The record is from RNAcentral. Lineage: Eukaryota; Viridiplantae; Streptophyta; Magnoliopsida; Poales; Poaceae.